Molecule: ribosomal RNA, 224 nt
Filed under: Glomeraceae sp.
Lineage: Eukaryota; Fungi; Glomeromycota; Glomeromycetes; Glomerales; Glomeraceae
Description: partial small subunit ribosomal RNA
Rfam family: Eukaryotic small subunit ribosomal RNA
Source: RNAcentral
UUUGGAGGGCAAGUCUGGUGCCAGCAGCCGCGGUAAUUCCAGCUCCAAUAGCGUAUAUUAAAGUUGUUGCAGUUAAAAAGCUCGUAGUUGAAUUUCGGGGUUAGUAGGUUGGUCAUGCCUCUGGUAUGUACUGAUCUUACUGAUUCCUCCCUCUUGACGAACUGUAAUGUCAUUAAUUUGGUGUUGCAGGAAAUCAGGACUGUUACUUUGAAAAAAUUAGAGUG